RNAcentral lists this ribosomal RNA (253 nucleotides) under uncultured bacterium. RNAcentral's name for it is "partial 16S ribosomal RNA". It matches the Rfam family "Bacterial small subunit ribosomal RNA", at positions 524 to 776 of the family's 1533-position model. The record is from RNAcentral.
UACGUAGGGGGCAAGCGUUGCUCGGAAUCACUGGGCGUAAAGGGUGCGUAGGCGGGGUUUUAAGUCAGGGGUGAAAUCCUGGAGCUCAACUCCAGAACUGCCUUUGAUACUGAGGAUCUUGAGUUCGGGAGAGGUGAGUGGAACUGCGAGUGUAGAGGUGAAAUUCGUAGAUAUUCGCAAGAACACCAGUGGCGAAGGCGGCUCACUGGCCCGAUACUGACGCUGAGGCACGAAAGCGUGGGGAGCAAACAGG